CUGAAAUGGCCGGCUACGUACUCUGUCGAAGCAACAAAAUAUUAUAUGUCAUCUGGUUUGAUCGAAAACUUUAAAUACUGGAGAUCAUCUACGAAGUCGCGCUUGGAAGCCAAUAAUGGGGCAGCAAUUAAAAUCACAAUAGGUUCUAGAAAGGGCAGAGGAAAAUACGAGAUUCAUCCUGAGACAACAGAGGAAGAGACCAACAAUAUGGUUUGUACUAAAUACGAGCCAAUGGCUUUUAGACCAGAAGAUUUUUUACCCGCAAUACGUGAUCUCAGUG
Long non-coding RNA from Cydia amplana, 280 nucleotides. RefSeq lists it as uncharacterized. Lineage: Eukaryota; Metazoa; Arthropoda; Insecta; Lepidoptera; Tortricidae. The transcript has 3 exons. The record is from RefSeq and is a predicted model, not a curated record.